GUUGAAUCUUUUGGUGGAUUCGAUGAUGGGAGGGAGAUUUUGGCCGUCGGAGGUUGGCAGCACUCCGACUCCGAUUCGUCGCCGCAGGCUAGCGACUAUAAACAUUUCCGGCGUGAAUAUGAAUCUGUUGCUUGGACGGCGUCGUUUGUAGCAAACUCCGAAUUUGACCUGCCUGCAAGGUUGAUUGAGUCACUUUAGAUACAUGUCAAGGAGUUUCACGUGAGAAUAUAUUAUUUUUAGUUUAAUUGGCUAAGGCCAUCAUUUCUCUCUAGCAUAUUUAGACCAAGAUGUGAUCUCAUCCUUUGCUUCAUUUCAAGAUGUGUGAUAUUUGUUACUUCCACUUAUACUUACGUUUCAUUAUGUUCUUGUAAGACACAUUUGUAAGGAAAUGAUUCUUACUUAGUUAUUGUAUCUGUACUAUCUCUGAUUUUCUCCCU
Molecule: long non-coding RNA, 437 nt
Organism: Brassica napus (rape)
Lineage: Eukaryota; Viridiplantae; Streptophyta; Magnoliopsida; Brassicales; Brassicaceae
Exons: 2
Source: RefSeq, a predicted model, not a curated record